Molecule: ribosomal RNA, 445 nt
Filed under: uncultured Parcubacteria group bacterium
Lineage: Bacteria
Description: bacterial SSU rRNA
Rfam family: Bacterial small subunit ribosomal RNA
Source: RNAcentral
CCUACGGGAGGCUGCAGUCGAGAAUCUUCCGCAAUGGACGAAAGUCUGACGGAGCGACGCCGCGUGAUUGAUGAAGUCCCUUAGGGACGUAAAGAUCUUUUAUGAGGGAGGAAGUUUAUUGACGUUACCUCAUGAAUAAGAGGCUCCUAAUCUCGUGCCAGCAGGAGCGGUAAUACGAGAGCCUCGAGCGUUAUCCGGAAUUAUUGGGCGUAAAGGGUGCGUAGGUUGUUUUGUUAGUCUUUUGUUAAAGGCCCGGGCUUAACUUGGGAAAGGCAAAAGAAACGGCAGAACUUGAAAGUGCGAGAGGCGUACGGAACUCAUGGUGUAGGGGUGAAAUCCGUUGAUAUCAUGGGGAACACCAAAAGCGAAGGCAGUACGCUGGCGCAUAUUUGACACUGAAGCACGAAAGCGUGGGUAGCGAAUGGGAUUAGAUACCCCGGUAGUC